RNAcentral lists this ribosomal RNA (869 nucleotides) under Escherichia coli. RNAcentral describes it as "partial 23S ribosomal RNA". It matches the Rfam family "Bacterial large subunit ribosomal RNA", at positions 364 to 1238 of the family's 2925-position model. Lineage: Bacteria; Pseudomonadati; Pseudomonadota; Gammaproteobacteria; Enterobacterales; Enterobacteriaceae. The record is from RNAcentral.
GUGACAGCCCCGUACACAAAAAUGCACAUAUUGUGAGCUCGAUGAGUAGGGCGGGACACGUGGUAUCCUGUCUGAAUAUGGGGGGACCAUCCUCCAAGGCUAAAUACUCCUGACUGACCGAUAGUGAACCAGUACCGUGAGGGAAAGGCGAAAAGAACCCCGGCGAGGGGAGUGAAAAAGAACCUGAAACCGUGUACGUACAAGCAGUGGGAGCCUCUUAAUGGGGUGACUGCGUACCUUUUGUAUAAUGGGUCAGCGACUUAUAUUCUGUAGCAAGGUUAACCGAAUAGGGGAGCCGAAGGGAAACCGAGUCUUAACUGGGCGUUAAGUUGCAGGGUAUAGACCCGAAACCCGGUGAUCUAGCCAUGGGCAGGUUGAAGGUUGGGUAACACUAACUGGAGGACCGAACCGACUAAUGUUGAAAAAUUAGCGGAUGACUUGUGGCUGGGGGUGAAAGGCCAAUCAAACCGGGAGAUAGCUGGUUCUCCCCGAAAGCUAUUUAGGUAGCGCCUCGUGAAUUCAUCUCCGGGGGUAGAGCACUGUUUCGGCAAGGGGGUCAUCCCGACUUACCAACCCGAUGCAAACUGCGAAUACCGGAGAAUGUUAUCACGGGAGACACACGGCGGGUGCUAACGUCCGUCGUGAAGAGGGAAACAACCCAGACCGCCAGCUAAGGUCCCAAAGUCAUGGUUAAGUGGGAAACGAUGUGGGAAGGCCCAGACAGCCAGGAUGUUGGCUUAGAAGCAGCCAUCAUUUAAAGAAAGCGUAAUAGCUCACUGGUCGAGUCGGCCUGCGCGGAAGAUGUAACGGGGCUAAACCAUGCACCGAAGCUGCGGCAGCGACACUAUGUGUUGUUGGGUAGGGGAGCG